UGGCCGGGCUCGGUAACGCGGGCCUAUGACCCUAUGUGGGGGGCAUUAAAGAUGGACGGAUUAGUUUGGUGGGUCUAGUUGUUUGGGUGAGGCUAAGUGGGCCCUUGCCGGCUUGCCAUUCCCUGUCUGGGUAUGCAUGGUUCGCAUAGUGUUGGCCCAUUUGUUGUUGGGUGGUAUUAUGCAUGUUUAAGCCUCCGAUGUUAAGAAUACCGGGGACUUCUUGAGCUGGCUUUUCAGAGCAGCAGGUGUGCUCUCUUUCAUGGAUUGGACUAACAAGCUGGUACCUCACCCAUCUAUCAUAGGUUCAAACUAAAACUCCAUCUUUA
Molecule: unclassified non-coding RNA, 326 nt
Filed under: Hevea brasiliensis (rubber tree)
Lineage: Eukaryota; Viridiplantae; Streptophyta; Magnoliopsida; Malpighiales; Euphorbiaceae
Source: RNAcentral